This 435-nucleotide ribosomal RNA is filed under the name uncultured bacterium. RNAcentral describes it as "partial 16S ribosomal RNA". It matches the Rfam family "Bacterial small subunit ribosomal RNA", at positions 29 to 507 of the family's 1533-position model. The record is from RNAcentral.
AACGAACGCUGGCGGCAGGCUUAACACAUGCAAGUCGAACGCAUGCCUUCGGGCAUGAGUGGCAGACGGGUGAGUAACGCGUGGGAACCUACCCCUUGGUACGGGAUAGCUCCGGGAAACUGGAGAUAAUACCGUAUGUGUCCUGAGGGACAAAGAUUCAUCGCCACGGGAUGGGCCCGCGUCGGAUUAGCUAGUUGGUGGGGUAACGGCCUACCAAGGCGACGAUCCGUAGCUGGUCUAAGAGGAUGAUCAGCCACAUUGGGACUGAGACACGGCCCAAACUCCUACGGGAGGCAGCAGUGGGGAAUAUUGGACAAUGGGCGCAAGCCUGAUCCAGCCAUGCCGCGUGAGUGAUGAAGGCCCUAGGGUUGUAAAGCUCUUUCACCGGUGACGAUAAUGACGGUAACCGGAGAAGAAGCCCCGGCUAACUUCGUG